GGCGGGCGGGGCCCUGUACACCUGCAUGGUGUGUGUCCCGGCCUCAGCCCAGCGCCAGCUGCAGCUCCUUGAUCAGAGCCGGAUCCUGAGCUGGGAACACCGGCUGAAGUGGCGGCGGCGGCGGCGGCCCCGCCCAGGGGCUCCCUUAUUGAGGCUGCGGAGUCUCUGCCGCUGCUCAGCUGCGCUCUAGUCGGCCCAGGCGCUGCAGCGAGGAGCUAGCGCUGGGAGGCGGCGGCCCGAGAAGCACCGUCAUAGAAGCAGAGAUGCAGAGGCAGCACUGGUGACUCACACAUGGAGAGCUGGAAUUCUUGGUCUAGUGGGAUAAACUGACCUGGACAUCAUUUCAGUGCAGCAGAAGCAAGUCUAUCAUCUCUUUUGGAUGGAGUGUGGCCAGCCCUGCCUUGUGAUGUAAGGAAAUCAGGAAACGCUUGUCAGGUGACAACACCGUGCCAGACACUCUUCUAGGGGUUUCCACGUAAAUCACUGUAUUCAUUUCUGUUGCUGCUUUACCACAUUUCCACAUAUUUCAUGGCUUAAAACAAUUGAAAUUGUAUCAUCUCACAGUUCUGUGGGACAGAAGUCUGACGCAGGUGUCACUGGGCAAAAAUCACCGUGUGGUCUGGGCUGCAUUCCUCAUUGGAGAAUUGUUUCCAAGCGCUUUUGGCCAAAUAUAGUUCCUUGUGGUUGCAGGACUGAGUUGUCUGUUCCCUUGCUGGUCAUCUGUUGGGGGCUGCCCUCAGCUCCUGAGGCUUCUAUCUGUUCUUUGCACGUGGUCCCAUCAGCUUAGGACUAGCUAUGCCAGGGACCUGGUCAGGCUCUCCAGUUCCCCUGUGUGCAUUUCUCUUCUUCCACUCGGAGAAAGUUCUAUGUCCUAUUUUA
Molecule: long non-coding RNA, 879 nt
Organism: Piliocolobus tephrosceles (Ugandan red Colobus)
Lineage: Eukaryota; Metazoa; Chordata; Mammalia; Primates; Cercopithecidae
Exons: 3
Source: RefSeq, a predicted model, not a curated record